UACGUAGGGACCAAGCGUUGUUCGGAUUUACUGGGCGUAAAGGGCGCGUAGGCGGCUUGACAAGUCACUUGUGAAAUCUCCGGGCUUAACUCGGAACUGCCAAGUGAAACUGCUGGGCUAGAGUGCAGAAGGGGCAAUCGGAAUUCUUGGUGUAGCGGUGAAAUGCGUAGAUAUCAAGAGGAACACCUGAGGUGAAGACGGGUUGCUGGGCUGACACUGACGCUGAGGCGCGAAAGCCAGGGGAGCAAACGGG
This 253-nucleotide ribosomal RNA is filed under the name uncultured bacterium. RNAcentral describes it as "partial 16S ribosomal RNA". It matches the Rfam family "Bacterial small subunit ribosomal RNA", at positions 524 to 776 of the family's 1533-position model. The record is from RNAcentral.